UACGUAGGGUGCGAGCGUUAAUCGGAAUUACUGGGCGUAAAGCGUGCGCAGGCGGUUUUGUAAGCCGGAUGUGAAAUCCCCGGGCUUAACCUGGGAAUGGCAUUUGGGACUGCAAGGCUGGAGUGCGGCAGAGGAGACUGGAAUUCCCGGUGUAGCAGUGAAAUGCGUAGAUAUCGGGAGGAAUACCGAUGGCGAAGGCAGGUCUCUGGGCUGACACUGACGCUCAUGCACGAAAGCGUGGGGAGCAAACAGG
RNAcentral lists this ribosomal RNA (253 nucleotides) under uncultured bacterium. RNAcentral's name for it is "partial 16S ribosomal RNA". It matches the Rfam family "Bacterial small subunit ribosomal RNA", at positions 524 to 776 of the family's 1533-position model. The record is from RNAcentral.